UCUCUCUUUCUCUGUCUGUCUCUCUCUCUCGGUCUCUGUCUCUCUGUCUCAGGCAGUGAGACACAGAGCAGCUAAUUGUGUGAAGGCCACACAGACAAUGUUUCUUCCUCUCAUUCCAGCUGCCUAGGCCCUACUGUACUCGCACACGCUGGGCUUCCUCCUCAUCGCUGAAAAGGGGCCUAGGACCAACACACACAGACCUGUGAUCCUGUUACACACCCGCUUUAAAUUCAACACAGACACAGAGAAGGAAGAAGUGGUUGUGGGGAGAGAAAGAGAAGGGAAAGAGAAACCAGCAGCCUUCCUGAGUGGAAUCAGUACCAGUGCCAACAAAAUUCUUUAAAAUGCCAAAUAGAUGCAUAGCAUUCAGUAUGCUCUAAAAUGUUCUAAUCUAGACUGACAUUCUGAGAGAGUGAGAGAGGGAAGCAUCCUCAGAGCAUCACAGGAUAGGACAGGACAAAGACAGGACAGAAUAGGAUAAUGACAGGUUAGGAUAGGACAUGAUGGGACAAGGGAGGGAUAGGACAGGGUAGGAUAGGACAGGACAAAGACAGGACAGAAUAAUGACAGGUUAGGAUAGGACAUGAUGGGACAAGGGAAGGAUAGGACAGGGUAGGAUAGGACAGGACAGGACAGAAUAGGAUAAUGACAGGUUAGGAUAGGACAUGAUGGGACAAGGGAAGGAUAGGACAGGGUAGGAUAGGACAGGACAGGACAGAAUAGGAUAAUGACAGGUUAGGAUAGGACAUGAUGGGACAAUGGAAGGAUAGGACAGGGUAGGAAGGACAGGACAGGACAAAGACAGGACAGAAUAGGAUAAUGACAGGUUAGGAUAGGACAUGAUGGGACAAGGGUAGGAUGGGACAGGGCAGGAUAGGACAGGGCUGGAUAGGACAGGGCAGGAUAGGCCAGGACAAGGACAGGUUUUGGAUGUAUUGAACGUAUGUGUCAAACUGUUUGUGUAGACGUCUUGACAGAAAUAGUAGCAGAAGGUGAAUGUUGAAAUGUUGUUGCAUACAUAUCCAGAUGAUGCUGCAAACUAUUUUGCGCAACGACGUUGUCGGUUUGAUCGAAGCGACAGGAUAGGACAAGGAUAGGAUAGGACAAGUACCUGCCAAGGCAAACCAAAGGACAGGGUUGGACAAUGAUAGGUUAGAAUAGGAUAGGACAUGGACCUGAUAGGACAAGGACAGAACAAGACUAGGAGAGGAUAGGAUAGGACAAGGUCAGGAUAGGACAGGAAAGGACAAAUCCAAGGACAGGUCGGUAGAGGAUAGGACAAGGACAGGCUAGGACAAGGACAGGUUAGUAUAGGACAUGAAAAUGAUAGGACAAGGUAGGGACAGGUUAGGAGAGGACAGGACAAGGUCAGGAUAGGACAAACCCAAGGACUAGUUAGGAUAGGACAAGGUCAGGGAAAGGCUGGGACAGGACUAACCAAAGGACAGGAUAGGACAAGGUCAGGGAAAGGCUGGGACAGGACUAACCAAAGGACAGGAUAGGACAUGGUCAGGGAAAGGCUGGGACAGGACUAACCAAAGGACAGGACAGGAUAGGACAAGGUAAGGGAAAGGCUGGUACAGGACUAACCAAAGGACAGGAUAGGACAAGGUCAGGGAAAGGCUGGGACAGGACUAACCAAAGGACAGGACAGGAUAGGACAAGGUAAGGGAAAGGCUGGUACAGGACUAACCAAAGGACAGGACAAGGUCAGGGAAAGGCUGGGACAGGACUAACCAAAGGACAGGACAGGACAAGGUCAGGGAAAGGCUGGGACAGGACUAACCAAAGGACAGGAUGGGAUAGGACAAGGUCAGGGAAAGGCUGGGACAGGACUAACCAAAGGACAGGACAGGAUAGGACAAGGUAAGGGAAAGGCUGGUACAGGACUAACCAAAGGACAGGACAAGGUCAGGGAAAGGCUGGGACAGGACUAACCAAAGGACAGGACAGGACAAGGUCAGGGAAAGGCUGGGACAGGACUAAUGAAAGGACAGGAUAGGACAAGGAGAGUGAAAGGCUGGGACAGGACUAACCAAAGGACAGGAUGGGAUAGGACAAGGUCAGGGAAAGGCUGGGAUAGGACUAACCAAAGGACAGGAUGGGAUAGGACAAGGACAGGAUGGGACAGGUCAGGAUAGGACAAGAUGAUAACAUUAACAUAAUGGCUUAGAGCCAGAGCCUGAGCCUGGAGGCGGUACUAUGGAGAGGUGGGGUUAGUCAGGUCCAAUGAGAAGCUGCCUCCAAGGUAGACCACUGAAGGGGUGGAGCUUGGAGCCAAACACAUUAUUGUUACCCUGUUAAAAAUAAAAACAUUAAUUGAAGCAUCGCUUAUAAGAUGAUUUAUAAAAAGGGAGGGUUUGAGCCGCAGCCAAGGGGCUGCACACACACACACACACACACACACACACACACACACACACACACACACACACACACACACACACACACACACACACACACACUUCCAAACAGGUGGCACUGCCUACUUACAUAUAAAGAAGAAAUGGAGACUCAGUGUAAUGGUGGCAGUGAAGGGCAAGAUGGGUAGGACUUCCAGAGCCCACCUCCUCCAUCUCCCACAGACAGUCCUCUGGCUCCCCUGGCCUCCCUGGUAUUCUGGUCACUGAGAGCAUUGGACUCGAGGGCGGGGCUGAG
Molecule: long non-coding RNA, 2658 nt
Filed under: Salmo salar (Atlantic salmon)
Lineage: Eukaryota; Metazoa; Chordata; Actinopteri; Salmoniformes; Salmonidae
Description: lncRNA (ENSSSAG00000091332.1)
Source: RNAcentral